GUGCCGAACAUUUCUUUCUAUAUUGAAAGAACACUUUGAGGAGAGCUGCCUAGUCUUUGUUUCCAACUACUUUUGGAUUCCAGCACAAGACAAUGACUUGACUGUUUAAUACUGCAGAACUGGACAAGACAACAGCUGGAACUGGGAGUGGAGGGUAAAAAAAAGUGACCCACUGGCCCCAUCCAUUUCACCAUGACACCAAGACCAACAUUAAAACCAACUAAAACACUUCACACCAACACCACAACAGCUGCUCCAGGCUUCCUGCCCUCUUUCCUGGACAGGAUUCCUUUGCCAAGAUGGGCCAUCUAUGCUAUAUUUGCUGCCGUCAUCCUGCUUAUUCUUAUCUUUGUGAUAUGCUGCUGUGUAAAAUGCUGCUGCAAAGAGAAAAAGAAGAGGAAGAAGAAGCUGGAUCAGAAGAUCAGUAUGAAAGGGAUCUCAGGAACUACAACCGCA
Molecule: long non-coding RNA, 456 nt
Filed under: Sinocyclocheilus anshuiensis
Lineage: Eukaryota; Metazoa; Chordata; Actinopteri; Cypriniformes; Cyprinidae
Description: lncRNA (ENSSANG00000002547.1)
Source: RNAcentral